RNAcentral lists this transfer RNA (73 nucleotides) under Ignavibacteriota bacterium. Its description in RNAcentral is "Ignavibacteriae bacterium tRNA-Arg". It matches the Rfam family "tRNA". Rfam says of the family: Transfer RNA (tRNA) molecules are approximately 80 nucleotides in length. Their secondary structure includes four short double-helical elements and three loops (D, anti-codon, and T loops). The record is from RNAcentral. Lineage: Bacteria; Pseudomonadati; Ignavibacteriota. RNAcentral also lists the same sequence under 6 other names.
GCCCUCGUAGCUCAGUGGAUAGAGCAGUAGUUUCCUAAACUAUUGGCCGGAUGUUCGACUCAUCCCGAGGGCG